CAGCAGCCACGGUAAUGCGUAGGGUGCGAGCGUUAAUCGGAAUUACUGGGCGUAAAGCGUGCGCAGGCGGUUCGUUAAGACAGAUGUGAAAUCCCCGGGCUUAACCUGGGAACUGCAUUUGUGACUGUAUAGCUAGAGUACGGUAGAGGGGGAUGGAAUUCCGCGUGUAGCAGUGAAAUGCGUAGAUAUGCGGAGGAACACCGAUGGCGAAGGCAAUCCCCUGGACCUGUACUGACGCUCAUGCACGAAAGCGUGGGGAGCAAACAGGAUUAGAUACCCGUGUAGUCCCUGUCUCUUAUAC
Molecule: ribosomal RNA, 301 nt
Filed under: uncultured bacterium
Lineage: Bacteria
Description: partial 16S ribosomal RNA
Rfam family: Bacterial small subunit ribosomal RNA
Source: RNAcentral